Molecule: ribosomal RNA, 253 nt
Filed under: uncultured bacterium
Lineage: Bacteria
Description: partial 16S ribosomal RNA
Rfam family: Bacterial small subunit ribosomal RNA
Source: RNAcentral
UACGGGGGGGGCAAGCGUUGUUCGGAAUUACUGGGCGUAAAGGGCUCGUAGGCGGCCUUCUAAGUCAGACGUGAAAUCCCUCGGCUCAACCGAGGAACUGCGUCUGAUACUGGAAGGCUUGAAUCCGGGAGAGGGAUGUGGAAUUCCAGGUGUAGCGGUGAAAUGCGUAGAUAUCGGGAGGAACACCAGUGGCGAAGGCGACUACCUGGCCUGUUCUUGACGCUGAGGCGCGAAAGCUAGGGGAGCAAACGGG